This 75-nucleotide transfer RNA is filed under the name Ailuropoda melanoleuca (giant panda). It matches the Rfam family "tRNA". Rfam says of the family: Transfer RNA (tRNA) molecules are approximately 80 nucleotides in length. Their secondary structure includes four short double-helical elements and three loops (D, anti-codon, and T loops). Lineage: Eukaryota; Metazoa; Chordata; Mammalia; Carnivora; Ursidae. The record is from Rfam by way of RNAcentral.
GCCUGGCUGGCUCAGUUGGUAGAGCGAGUGACUCUUGAUCUCUCGGGAUUGUGGGUUUGAGCCCCAUGUUGGGUG